Molecule: RNA transcript, 732 nt
Organism: Odontomachus brunneus
Lineage: Eukaryota; Metazoa; Arthropoda; Insecta; Hymenoptera; Formicidae
Gene name: NADH dehydrogenase [ubiquinone] 1 alpha subcomplex subunit 7-like
Exons: 4
Source: RefSeq, a predicted model, not a curated record
UCGGUUUUAAGGAUGUUUGUAGCCAAAACCUGACAGAGAACAACAUCCAAAUAGCGCAGUACAUCAAUACGUCUAAGCUUGCUACUUGUGAAUCUAAUUAUUUCUCAAUAAAUCAUAAAAUUAUUGAUAGACAUGCCGGGCACAGUAGAGCAUCGCUCAGCUACAUGGUUAAUAAAAACUUUACGCAAUAUCGGCCGGGGAAGAAAAGUUGUGCUACCGCAUAGAUAUGCUGAUGAACAAGCUGAGCGUACUCAACCACCACCAAAUGUACCAGGAGGUCCAUAUCAUAAAACUUCUGAAAUCUACUACUAUACUCAUGAUGCUAGACGAGAAGUAAAACCACCAUUAGUAAUUAGCACAGCAAAAAAAAUGCAGCAAAUUAGUACAAAAAGUGAACCCUCUGCAAAAACAUUUGUAACUCCAGGAAAACUUUAUAAAUGGGAUUAACACCAGAGUUAAAUUAACAACAGUGGCUGUUAUAUUGCAAGUCGUUAGUGUAAUAUUGUUUAAUGAAAAAACUGCUGUUUUAACCAAUAAAACAUUCUGUGAGAAGAAAGGUUUUCAAAUAAGCCACCUGCUUAAAGUAAUUUAAUUUAAUCUUUAACCAUUAACAGCGCAUAAGUUAGUAAACAGGAAUGUGUUCAUAUACAGAUGUGCUGCAUAAGGCAGGCACUUUGUAUGUAUAUGUAUAUAUAAGUAAUUUCGUAGAUAAAUAUAAUACAUUAUUACAUA